Molecule: ribosomal RNA, 465 nt
Filed under: uncultured bacterium
Lineage: Bacteria
Description: partial 16S ribosomal RNA
Rfam family: Bacterial small subunit ribosomal RNA
Source: RNAcentral
GAUGAACGCUGGCGGCGUGCUUAACACAUGCAAGUCGAACGGAAAGGCUCCUGCUUGCCGGGGUACUCGAGUGGCGAACGGGUGAGUAACACGUGGGUGAUCUGCCCUGCACUUCGGGAUAAGCCUGGGAAACUGGGUCUAAUACCGGAUAGGACGAUGGUUUGGAUGCCAUUGUGGAAAGUUUUUCGGUGUGGGAUGAGCUCGCGGCCCAUCAGCUUGUUGGUGGGGUAAUGGCCUACCAAGGCGUCGACGGGUAGCCGGCCUGAGAGGGUGUACGGCCACAUUGGGACUGAGAUACGGCCCAGACUCCUACGGGAGGCAGCAGUGGGGAAUAUUGCACAAUGGGCGCAAGCCUGAUGCAGCGACGCCGCGUGGGGGAUGACGGCCUUCGGGUUGUAAACUCCUUUCGCUAGGGACGAAGCGCAAGUGACGGUACCUGGAGAAGAAGCACCGGCUAACUACGUG